GUUUCCGGCGACGCUUAUAAAUUCUGUUUUUUAUCUGCUCGUGUGAUUGCAAAGAAAAGUCGCCACGGGUUGCCGCAGGAAAAUGGGUGCUCUCUCAAUGCAAUUGUGUGUUUUCCUUUGGGGGUUGUUUCUUGGCGUUUGCGCAAUAGAUGCACCAAAUAUUAUUGUGCUUUUAAGCUACAUUUAUUUCAAUUACAAAAUUAUUUGAUUGAUCACAAGAGAUUUGAGAUGGGGAAUACUGCAGUGAUUUUAAGGCGAGCAAUUAUUUCAUUUUGUGUAUUUUACUGUUGUUCCAAACAAGAUCAUUUAACUUGAAAAAAAUACUUGAAUGACUAAUUUAUAAUAUUAUUACAAGCAGGUAAUUCAAUCUCCAAGUAUUGCAAUCUCCAAGAGAAAGACCAAACUUUGGUCCCUGCGACUAGUCCCACAAAUUCAAACCAGUUUGGAUUCAGAUUUUCAAUUUUUGGGACAAGCCGCUGGGACUUGGUCCUCAGAAGGCCUUGUGUGAGCUGUUCCUCGGACAAGUCCCUGCAAACAGUCCCUUCGUGUAAACUGUUCCAGGAGCUAGUUGCAGGGACUAGUCGCAGGGACUAGUCGCAGG
This is a long non-coding RNA of Orbicella faveolata, 601 nucleotides long. The record is from RefSeq and is a predicted model, not a curated record. NCBI's taxonomy places the organism in Eukaryota, Metazoa, Cnidaria, Anthozoa, Scleractinia, Merulinidae.